AUUGAACGCUGGCGGCAUGCCUUACACAUGCAAGUCGAACGGUAACGGGCCUUCGGGUGCCGACGAGUGGCGAACGGGUGAGUAAUACAUCGGAACGUGCCCGAUCGUGGGGGAUAACGAGGCGAAAGCUUUGCUAAUACCGCAUACGAUCUACGGAUGAAAGCAGGGGACCGCAAGGCCUUGCGCGGACGGAGCGGCCGAUGGCAGAUUAGGUAGUUGGUGGGAUAAAAGCUUACCAAGCCGACGAUCUGUAGCUGGUCUGAGAGGAUGAUCAGCCACACUGGGACUGAGACACGGCCCAGACUCCUACGGGAGGCAGCAGUGGGGAAUUUUGGACAAUGGGCGCAAGCCUGAUCCAGCCAUGCCGCGUGCAGGAUGAAGGCCUUCGGGUUGUAAACUGCUUUUGUACGGAACGAAAAGCCUUCUUUUAAUACAGGAGGGUCAUGACGGUACCGUGAGAAUAAGCACCGGCUAACUACGUG
This 482-nucleotide ribosomal RNA is filed under the name uncultured bacterium. RNAcentral's name for it is "partial 16S ribosomal RNA". It matches the Rfam family "Bacterial small subunit ribosomal RNA", at positions 30 to 507 of the family's 1533-position model. The record is from RNAcentral.